ACGCUCGACACCUACGGGGGGCAGCAGUGGGGAAUAUUGGGCAAUGGAGGAAACUCUGACCCAGCAACGCCGCGUGAAUGAUGAAGGUCUUCGGAUUGUAAAGUUCUUUUCUAAGGGAAGAAGAAAGUGACGGUACCUUAGGAAUAAGCCUCGGCUAACUACGUGCCAGCAGCCGAGGUAAUCUGAGCGGGCUGGCAAGGC
RNAcentral lists this ribosomal RNA (201 nucleotides) under uncultured bacterium. RNAcentral's name for it is "partial 16S ribosomal RNA". It matches the Rfam family "Bacterial small subunit ribosomal RNA", at positions 328 to 539 of the family's 1533-position model. The record is from RNAcentral.